GAGCCUAGUUGUGUUGCCUGAGGUGUUGCUGCCAGUGUAGGGUGUUUUAGGUUCCUCUUAGCAAGGUGCAGCAGAAAGGAAAAGAAAACUUUCUAUAAAAGGCAAGGUAGCUUCCAAUGUAGACAGAUAAGGAACUAUAGAGUCUUUAUUUCAUAAGGACAUUAAUCAGAUUUUUGAUGUUAUCUGCUCUAAAUAUCAUGUUUUCCUUUCAGUGAGGACAAUGAUAUUGACUGUUGAUAAGAUCAUGCAACAUUUACAUAAAAAAACAUGUCCGCACAUAGGUGUGAGUGUUAAAAGGCCUUGGGCUGUGUUCACCAUGGCAUACAGUACUAGUGUACUGCCAUGGGGCUCUGGGUUGAUGUGGUUUGUAGCUUGUUUUAGCCAGUUGUCAAUCAUCCACCAGGUGAAAAUUAUUUAUAACUUCAGACUUAUGUGUCAAAGCAGUGUUACAUUGCUUCUCUCUCUCUCUCUCUCUCUCUCUCUCUCUCUCUCUAUCUAUCAAAAAAAUGGAGUCAAAAUUAGAUGUUAAAAAUCAUAGACAAUAUCCCAUCCUAUUUAUUUGUUUAAAGGGAUAGUUAACCCAAAACUGAUUUCUGUCAAUUUACUCACCUUCAGGCCAUCCAAGAUGUAUGUGACUUUAUUUCUUGAGUCCUUGGUGAUUAAUUUCUUCAGUCCUUCAUUCAAGUGUUCGGUUCACACAUACAAAUAUCAUCGGUCCAAGCUGAACUGUUCACUGUCCAGUUCAAAAGAAUCAUGCAUUGGACAUCACUCCGGACUGUUUGCCUGAGGAUCUGGAUUAAAGAUAAGUAUUGUUUCUUUUUUUGCACACACCGAUUGUUUGGCAUUAUAAGUCCUCAAUAUAUUAAUUGUCAGGAACAAUGGGUAUUCAUUUUGCGUUUUGUGUUCCUUGAUAUGCUUUUUCUUAUUUAAAGUGACAGUAGCCACUGACUUGCAUUUUAUGAAUCACCAAGGACCACGGUUUCGUGGACAUCUUGAAAAAUGUAGAGAGCGCCGUGGCAACGCUUCAAAUAUUCAAACACUCAUCGCCAAAGUUCCAAAUUUAAUUUGCGGCGAUGUUCUGACCUCAGACGAGCUGGAAAUCAGACACACACGUCACUCUGACCAGAGAUGCACCGUGUGGGAUGGACAGGUGCCACGAAGCACUUAUGCCCCACUGACUUCCAUUGUAUGGAAAAGAGCAGCACAGAUAUUCAGCAAAACAUCUCCUUUUAUGCUCCACAGAAGACAGAAAGUCACAGGGCUUUCAAACAGUGAGUAUUUGAGUUCGAUAGCCCACAUAUUCAGCUUAUAUUGUCAGUCUGCGCAGCAAGAAUGCGGAUGCCUCUGUCAAUCUGCGUGUAUGUUUCUUUUGUAAAUAACAAAAAGAGCACCCUGUGCUUUUUUAUCUCACCUGCCCACACUCUCAACAACCUCCACAUCUACAACCUUUCCUCUUCCUCAUCGCUGUCUCUCUCUCUCUUGGAGGGGGCGGUGUAGGCGUUCAAGGCUCAAAAGAACCAAGGAACAUCGCCGCUACAGUCAAAAAUAUCUAAAGGAAGCACACAUAUGUGCACCGAUUGUGUUGGCAUUCGCGCUGUUGGCAGAGAAAAGCAGUGUUGGGCCGUUGUGGAGGAUAUUUCCAUAGAUGAGCAGCAGAGUGGCUUUAUUUUUAGAUAAAUCACUCUGAGCAUGCAAAGAAAGACAGUAGCCACAAAGCAGUUUGGGUGAAGAAGAGCCUCUUUGCAAAC
This is a long non-coding RNA of Cyprinus carpio (common carp), 1748 nucleotides long. NCBI's taxonomy places the organism in Eukaryota, Metazoa, Chordata, Actinopteri, Cypriniformes, Cyprinidae. The record is from Ensembl.